GACGAACGCUGGCGGCGUGCUUAACACAUGCAAGUCGAACGGAAAGGCCCUGCUUUUGUGGGGUGCUCGAGUGGCGAAAGGGUGAGUAACACGUGAGUAACCUGCCCUUGACUUUGGGAUAACUUCAGGAAACUGGGGCUAAUACCGGAUAGGAGCUCCUGCUGCAUGGUGGGGGUUGGAAAGUUUCGGCGGUUGGGGAUGGACUCGCGGCUUAUCAGCUUGUUGGUGGGGUAGUGGCUUACCAAGGCUUUGACGGGUAGCCGGCCUGAGAGGGUGACCGGCCACAUUGGGACUGAGAUACGGCCCAGACUCCUACGGGAGGCAGCAGUGGGGAAUAUUGCACAAUGGGCGGAAGCCGUAUGCAGCAACGCCGCGUGCGGGAUGACGGCUUUCGGGUUGUAAACCGCUUUCGCCUGUGACGAAGCGUGAGUGACGGUAAUGGGUAAAGAAGCACCGGCUAACUACGUG
Molecule: ribosomal RNA, 468 nt
Filed under: uncultured bacterium
Lineage: Bacteria
Description: partial 16S ribosomal RNA
Rfam family: Bacterial small subunit ribosomal RNA
Source: RNAcentral